RNAcentral lists this ribosomal RNA (427 nucleotides) under Galathea melobosis. Its description in RNAcentral is "partial 16S ribosomal RNA". The stretch from base 295 to 427 matches the Rfam family "Bacterial large subunit ribosomal RNA", at positions 2473 to 2606 of the family's 2925-position model. RNAcentral also lists the same sequence under 1 other name. The record is from RNAcentral. Lineage: Eukaryota; Metazoa; Arthropoda; Malacostraca; Decapoda; Galatheidae.
UUUUAAUUGAAGGCUUGUAUGAAUGGUUGGACAAAGGAUAAGCUGUCUCUAUUUUUUGUUUUUGAAUUUAUCUUUUAAGUGAAAAGGCUUAAAUUAUUUUAAGGGACGAUAAGACCCUAUAAAUCUUUAUAUAAAACAUUUUUUUUUGGUUUUUGAUGUUUAUAAAAAUAAAUAUGUAUAAUAUUGUAUUGGGGCGAUAGGAAUAAUUGAAUAAACUGUUCUUAAAAAUAAACAAUUUUUGAAUUAUAAAAUUGUAGAUCCUUUUUAGAGAUUAAAAGUUCAAGUUACUUUAGGGAUAACAGCGUUAUUUUUUUUAAGAGUUCUAAUCGAAAAAAAAGUUUGCGACCUCGAUGUUGAAUUAAAAUUUCUUUAUGGUGCAGUCGUUAUAAGAGAGAGUCUGUUCGACUUUUAAAAUUUUACGUGAUCU